UACGUAGGUGGCGAGCGUUGUCCGGAUUUACUGGGCGUAAAGGGAGCGUAGGCGGACUUUUAAGUGAGGUGUGAAAUACCCGGGCUCAACUUGGGUGCUGCAUUUCAAACUGGAAGUCUAGAGUGCAGGAGAGGAGAGUGGAAUUCCUAGUGUAGCGGUGAAAUGCGUAGAUAUUAGGAGGAACACCAGUAGCGAAGGCGGCUCUCUGGACUGUAACUGACGCUGAGGCACGAAAGCGUGGAGAGCAAACAGGAUUAGAUACCCU
RNAcentral lists this ribosomal RNA (265 nucleotides) under uncultured prokaryote. RNAcentral describes it as "partial 16S ribosomal RNA". It matches the Rfam family "Bacterial small subunit ribosomal RNA", at positions 524 to 788 of the family's 1533-position model. The record is from RNAcentral.